UUUAAUUAAAAUUUUCAAAAAAUAAAUAUUAAAAAACAAAAAUACUUAUUUAAAAAGGAAACAUGGAGAGUACUUUAAAAAUGAUGAUAGUAAUAAUGUUUUAAAAAUGGAGCAGAAUUUAUUGUUCCUCGCAUAAUUGCUUAUUGUGUUGUGACGUGGCUUGCAGAAAUGGAGUAAAAUUGGAGAUCAGAUUUUUUGUCCUCAUUUUCCAUGUUUUCUUGUGUCUCUCACUUAAAUUUUGGCACCUGGACUAUUACUCAAUACCGAUUAAUUCUAAAAUUAAAUAAGAGGUCAGAUGUCAAAAUUUAAAUAAAAAAACAUGAAAAAUGAAGACAGAAGAUCUAGUCUUGUAGAAUUGAAGAGCAAAGAGAAAAAGAUAAGAAAAGAAUCACACAAAAACAUGAGAGAGCAUUAAUGGACAUCACAUCCCUACGUGAAAAUGUUUUCAUAUUUGUUGGGUCAUGAUAUUUUUUCUAUUGGACCGGACGGAUUGGGCCUAUUCAUUUAAUUAACCUAUUGAAUCUUUGUUAUUGAGUUUUAUAGUCAUUGGGCUUAAUAUUUAUGUUACACUUAUCAUAUCCUCAUAAUGAUGGGCUGGGUCUAAGGAUUGAUCCAUUAAAGCUUUUUAUAUCUAAGCCUUUGACUUGUAAUGAUGAAAAAAGAGAGCAGUUGACCAAAAGUCUGCAGAUCAUUAAUGUGGAUGGGAUUUUAUCCAGUCAGCGACAGGUACAGUAGGAAAAAGGUGACAACCUGCAUGCAUCCGGCUGAGACCAUAGAGGAGUGGGGAGCUGUGUCAGAUUAAGGUUGGUGGCACAAAAAACCGAGCAUGAGAGUAUAACCUAGCAAGGGAGUCUUCUAACAAAAGGUACACAUACAUUUUUAUCUCUCUCUAGAUGCUAGACAUUUUCAUCCUCCAUUGUUAACCCUUGUGACCGCCUGUACUUACUCUCACGCCGAAGCUAUCCCCCGACGGUCCAGCCAUCAAGCUUUGUGUGUUGAUCGUGUUUACUGUGCAGGAUCGGGACGUCUUACGUGAUUGGAACGUAGCAGAAGAUCUUGGCGUUAACAUUGGCGCUAGAAGGAGGGCAGUUCUAGUGUUCAAGAGUUGG
This 1109-nucleotide long non-coding RNA is filed under the name Panax ginseng (ginseng). RNAcentral describes it as "long non-coding RNA (PGIN_LNC018819)". The record is from RNAcentral. Lineage: Eukaryota; Viridiplantae; Streptophyta; Magnoliopsida; Apiales; Araliaceae.